UUCUGUAACAUUCAUAAUGAUUAUGGUCUUAAAGCAAUGGCUCAUAUUUGGUAUAUGAAGUGAUACAGGAACUGCGCUACAGGUGGGAGAAUGGUAUAGCGUUACCAAGUUUAGGGAAGAGUCAUCCUGACAUGUCUUGUUGUCUCUUACAUCAGAAAUUACAGAUGUUAAACAACUGUAUACUACACAAGAUAUCACAUGCUAAGAGACUCCACUACUCUCAGCUAUCAGCAGAGACUUCAGAAUCCAAACUCUCCCCUAG
Amphimedon queenslandica is the source of this 262-nucleotide long non-coding RNA. RefSeq lists it as uncharacterized. Lineage: Eukaryota; Metazoa; Porifera; Demospongiae; Haplosclerida; Niphatidae. The transcript has 4 exons. The record is from RefSeq and is a predicted model, not a curated record.